GAGUUUGAUCCUGCACRGGAUGAACGCUGGCGGCGUGCCUUAACACAUGCAAGUCGAACGGGGUUAUUUUGAUGAAGUCUUCGGAUGGAAUUGAGAUAACCUAGUGGCGGACGGGUGAGUAACGCGUGGGCAACCUGCCCCAUACAGGGGGAUAACAGCCGGAAACGGCUGCUAAAACCGCAUAAGCGCACACCGGCGCAUGCCGGAGUGUGAAAAUGUGUAUCGAAAGAUAUGCAGGUAUGGGAUGGGCCCGCGUCUGAUUAGCUGGUUGGUGAGGUAACGGCCCACCAAGGCGACGAUCAGUAGCCGGCUUGAGAGAGUGACCGGCCACAUUGGGACUGAGACACGGCCCAGACUCCUACGGGAGGCAGCAGUGGGGAAUGUUGCGCAAUGGGGGAAACCCUGACGCAGCGACGCCGCGUGAGGGAAGAAGGUUUUCGGAUUGUAAACCUCUGUCCUUGGUGACGAUAAUGACGGUAGCCAAGGAGGAAGCCACGGCUAACUACGUGCCAGCAGCCGCGGUAAUACGUAGGUGGCAAGCGUUGUCCGGAAUUACUGGGUGUAAAGGGAGCGUAGGCGGGAAUGCAAGUUGAAUGUGAAAUCUAUGGGCUCAACCCAUAGCUGCGUUCAAAACUGUGUUUCUUGAGUGAAGUAGAGGUAGGCGGAAUUCCUAGUGUAGCGGUGAAAUGCGUAAAUAUUAGGAGGAACACCAGUGGCGAAGGCGGCCUACUGGGCUUUAACUGACGCUGAUGCUCGAAAGCGUGGGUAGCAAACAGGAUUAGAUACCCUGGUAGUCCACGCUGUAAACGUUGAUGCUAGGUGUCGGGGGGUCCAACCCUCGGUGCUGUCGCUAACGCAAUAAG
Molecule: ribosomal RNA, 863 nt
Filed under: uncultured Clostridia bacterium
Lineage: Bacteria; Bacillati; Bacillota; Clostridia
Description: bacterial SSU rRNA
Rfam family: Bacterial small subunit ribosomal RNA
Source: RNAcentral